AACGAACGCUGGCGGCAGGCCUAACACAUGCAAGUCGAACGGGCACUUUCGGGUGUCAGUGGCAGACGGGUGAGUAACACGUGGGAACGUACCUUUCGGUUCGGGAUAACCCAGGGAAACUUGGGCUAAUACCGGAUACGUCCUUUGGGAGAAAGAUUUAUUGCCGAAAGAUCGGCCCGCGUCUGAUUAGCUAGUUGGUGGGGUAAUGGCCCACCAAGGCGACGAUCAGUAGCUGGUCUGAGAGGANGAUCAGCCACACUGGGACUGAGACACGGCCCAGACUCCUACGGGAGGCAGCAGUGGGGAAUAUUGGACAAUGGGCGCAAGCCUGAUCCAGCCAUGCCGCGUGAGUGAUGAAGGCCCUAGGGUUGUAAAGCUCUUUCGGCGGGGACGAUAAU
RNAcentral lists this ribosomal RNA (398 nucleotides) under uncultured bacterium. RNAcentral describes it as "bacterial SSU rRNA". It matches the Rfam family "Bacterial small subunit ribosomal RNA", at positions 29 to 452 of the family's 1533-position model. The record is from RNAcentral.